Long non-coding RNA from Polyodon spathula (Mississippi paddlefish), 484 nucleotides. RefSeq lists it as uncharacterized. The record is from RefSeq and is a predicted model, not a curated record. The transcript has 4 exons. Lineage: Eukaryota; Metazoa; Chordata; Actinopteri; Acipenseriformes; Polyodontidae.
AUAAUAAUUUACCAGAAUUCUAAUGCUGCCUGUAGUUGGUACAUAUAUAGAUGUACUUGUAUUUUUAGUCAAGAUUUAUCUAGAUUCUAGAAAAUGCUCAUGUUAUCAAACAGUUUUUAAGGUUAAUUCUGUAGGUUCUCAGGAUUAAGCUCCUGGAUUCACUACUGUUAACAAGGACACAGCCAAGGAAAGGGCAUGUUACAAUGAAGAAUUCUUGUGCCACACCCCACUGCUAAAAGAGAGCACCACAGAGUGGAGAGGGACACUGAGAGGAAGGGGAGAAGAAUGGCAGAAGGGACACUAAACCACAGCAGACAAGAGUUUUUCAGAAAGGUCCGUCUGAGAGCUUUACUCUUCAUCCAGCCCUUUCUGGAAGGGGAAAGAGAGACAGACUGGACUCAGCUCCAGCAUAGUUGGCAAAGAGGGAGGCGAGAAGCUUGAGGGAAGACUUCUGGUAGAGCCCGACCACAGUCUCAUUCAGAGG